CCCACUGAUUCUCUAUUUCUCACUCUCGUGCUAAUGCCCUUAAGACCGUCAGGUAUAUUUUCUAGCCUUCACACCGCUCACCUACUCGUCGUCGUUGUGGGUUUUCAUCGCCAACACUAGAGGUCGCCAGAAUCUUGGUAUUUUGAGUUCGAGCUUUGUAGGAGUUUAAGUAGAAGGUGUGUUGUCCGACGUUACAAAAGUUUGGCUUUGGUGAUUUUGGUACAGUUUUGGGUUGGAAUUGCAGUUUUCGGGAAGAAUUUAGGUGUUGACCAUUGGAAUUAAAAUCUGUUAUAUGAAAGAUUUUAGAGACUGAAAUUUUUGGAACGACUGUUGAUCAAGGUUCGUUUUGGGUAAGUGCAAGGACAUUUCGGCAAGUGACGGAAGGAAUUCGUGACCGUGCC
Benincasa hispida (wax gourd) is the source of this 401-nucleotide non-coding RNA. NCBI's taxonomy places the organism in Eukaryota, Viridiplantae, Streptophyta, Magnoliopsida, Cucurbitales, Cucurbitaceae. The record is from RefSeq and is a predicted model, not a curated record.